UCCGAGUUGACCCCGGCAUGACCCGAUGGCAACUGGAAACAGGGGUUUCGCUCGUUAAGGGACUUAACCCGACAUCUCACGACACGAGCUGACGACAGCCAUGCAACACCUAUAUACGUUCCACCCGUGAGGGUGUCACCAUGCUUUCACACGGCUAAUCCGUACAUUUCGAGCCCGGGUAAGGUUCUUCGCGUUGCAUCGAAUUAAGCAACAUGCUCCACCGCUUGUGUGAGCCCCCGUCAAUCCCUUUGAGUUUCAGCCUUGCGACCAUACUCCCCAGGCGGGAUACUUAACGCUUUCGCUCCGUUAAAAAGCCCCUUGCAGGGCCUUCUAAGUAGUAUCCAUCGUUUAGGGCGUGGACUAC
This 364-nucleotide unclassified non-coding RNA is filed under the name uncultured Planctomycetota bacterium. RNAcentral describes it as "uncultured planctomycete contains 16S-23S intergenic spacer region". The record is from RNAcentral. Lineage: Bacteria; Pseudomonadati; Planctomycetota.